This 254-nucleotide ribosomal RNA is filed under the name uncultured bacterium. Its description in RNAcentral is "partial 16S ribosomal RNA". It matches the Rfam family "Bacterial small subunit ribosomal RNA", at positions 524 to 776 of the family's 1533-position model. The record is from RNAcentral.
UACGGGGGGAGCAAGCGUUGUUCGGAUUUACUGGGCGUAAAGGGCGCGUAGGCGGCCACCGCAAGUCGACUGUGAAAUCUCCGGGCUUAACCCGGAAAGGUCAGCCGAUACUGCGGGGCUAGAGUGCAGAAGGGGCAACUGGAAUUCUCGGUGUAGCGGUGAAAUGCGUAGAUAUCGAGAGGAACACCUGCGGCGAAGGCGGGUUGCUGGGCUGACACUGACGCUGAAGCGCGAAAGCUAGGGGAGCGAACAGG